Non-coding RNA from Mus caroli (Ryukyu mouse), 595 nucleotides. The record is from RefSeq and is a predicted model, not a curated record. Lineage: Eukaryota; Metazoa; Chordata; Mammalia; Rodentia; Muridae.
UCGUCCCUACGCGGUUUCUGGGCGCCAGGGUCUGCACCGAAACAUGGCAGAGGUUGGGUCCAAGUCAGUGCUGUUCGUGUGUCUAGGUAACAUUUGCCGGUCACCCAUUGCAGAAGCAGUAUUCAGAAAACUGGUAACUGAUGAAAAGGUUUCCGAUAAUUGGAGGAUAGACAGUGCGGCUACAUCCACCUAUGAAGUGGGGAACCCUCCUGACUAUCGAGGGCAGAACUGCAUGAGAAAACAUGGCAUCCACAUGCAGUACAUUGCACGGCAGAUUACAAAAGAAGACUUUGCCACAUUCGAUUAUAUACUAUGUAUGGAUGAAAGCAAUCUGAGAGAUCUCAAUAGAAAAAGUAAUCAAGUUAAAAACUGCAAAGCUAAAAUNGAGCUACUUGGGAGCUAUGAUCCACAGAAACAGCUCAUCAUUGAAGAUCCCUAUUAUGGCAAUGACUCUGAUUUCGAGGUGGUGUACCAGCAAUGCCUUAGGUGCUGCAAGGCCUUCCUGGUCCUAACCACAACCAUUGAGCAGCUCAUUCAUCAGUGCUUUUCAGCUGACUUACUGUAUAUCUUUAAAAUAAUUGUAGGUGGAAAUUAG